RNAcentral lists this ribosomal RNA (747 nucleotides) under uncultured Synechococcus sp. RNAcentral's name for it is "bacterial SSU rRNA". It matches the Rfam family "Bacterial small subunit ribosomal RNA", at positions 67 to 849 of the family's 1533-position model. Lineage: Bacteria; Bacillati; Cyanobacteriota; Cyanophyceae; Synechococcales; Synechococcaceae. The record is from RNAcentral.
CUUACACUGCAGUGAACGAACUUCGGGUUAGUGGCGGACGGGUGAGUAACGCGUGAGAAUCUGCCCUCAGGAGGGGGACAACAGCUGGAAACGGCUGCUAAUACCCCAUAUGCCGCGAGGUGAAAUGAAUUUCGCCUGAGGAUGAGCUCGCGUCUGAUUAGCUAGUUGGUGUAGGUAAUGGCUCACCAAGGCGUCGAUCAGUAGCUGGUCUGAGAGGAUGAUCAGCCACACUGGGACUGAGACACGGCCCAGACUCCUACGGGAGGCAGCAGUGGGGAAUUUUCCGCAAUGGGCGAAAGCCUGACGGAGCAACGCCGCGUGAGGGAUGAAGGCCUCUGGGCUGUAAACCUCUUUUAUCAAGGAAGAAGAUCUGACGGUACUUGAUGAAUAAGCCACGGCUAAUUCCGUGCCAGCAGCCGCGGUAAUACGGGAGUGGCAAGCGUUAUCCGGAAUUAUUGGGCGUAAAGCGUCCGCAGGCGGCCUGACAAGCCUGCUGUUAAAGCGUGGAGCUUAACUCCAUUUCAGCAGUGGAAACUGUCAGGCUUGAGUGUGGUAGGGGCAGAGGGAGUUCCCGGUGUAGCGGUGAAAUGCGUAGAUAUCGGGAAGAACACCAGUGGCGAAGGCGCUCUGCUGGGCCAUCACUGACGCUCAUGGACGAAAGCCAGGGGAGCGAAGGGGAUUAAUACCCCUGGUAGUCUGGUCGUAACCGAUGACCUACGUGUCGGGGGAUCAAACCCUCGGUGUGUA